CUGUCCCAUGUUGCCAGCGAGUUAUGUCGGGGACUCAUGGGAGACUGCCGGUGACAAAUCGGAGGAAGGUGGGGAUGAUGUCAAGUCAUCAUGCCCCUUAUGUCCUGGGCUACACACGUGCUACAUUGGCCGGUACAAAGGGCUGCAAACCCGUGAGGGGGAGCGAAUCCCAAAAAACCGGUCCCGGUUCGGAUUGGAGGCUGAAACUCGCCUCCAUGAAGGCGGAGUUGCUAGUAAUCGUGGAUCAGCAACGCCACGGUGAAUACGUUCUCGGGCCUU
This 279-nucleotide ribosomal RNA is filed under the name uncultured bacterium. RNAcentral's name for it is "partial 16S ribosomal RNA". It matches the Rfam family "Bacterial small subunit ribosomal RNA", at positions 1105 to 1382 of the family's 1533-position model. The record is from RNAcentral.